UUAGAGUUUGAUCCUGGCUCAGAUUGAACGCUGGCGGCAGGCCUAACACAUGCAAGUCGAGCGGUAGAGAGAAGCUUGCUUCUCUUGAGAGCGGCGGACGGGUGAGUAAUGCCUAGGAAUCUGCCUGGUAGUGGGGGAUAACGUUCGGAAACGGACGCUAAUACCGCAUACGUCCUACGGGAGAAAGCAGGGGACCUUCGGGCCUUGCGCUAUCAGAUGAGCCUAGGUCGGAUUAGCUAGUUGGUGAGGUAAUGGCUCACCAAGGCGACGAUCCGUAACUGGUCUGAGAGGAUGAUCAGUCACACUGGAACUGAGACACGGUCCAGACUCCUACGGGAGGCAGCAGUGGGGAAUAUUGGACAAUGGGCGAAAGCCUGAUCCAGCCAUGCCGCGUGUGUGAAGAAGGUCUUCGGAUUGUAAAGCACUUUAAGUUGGGAGGAAGGGCAGUUACCUAAUACGUGAUUGUUUUGACGUUACCGACAGAAUAAGCACCGGCUAACUCUGUGCCAGCAGCCGCGGUAAUACAGAGGGUGCAAGCGUUAAUCGGAAUUACUGGGCGUAAAGCGCGCGUAGGUGGUUAGUUAAGUUGGAUGUGAAAUCCCCGGGCUCAACCUGGGAACUGCAUUCAAAACUGACUGACUAGAGUAUGGUAGAGGGUGGUGGAAUUUCCUGUGUAGCGGUGAAAUGCGUAGAUAUAGGAAGGAACACCAGUGGCGAAGGCGACCCACCCUGGACUGAUACUGACACUGAGGUGCGAAAGGCGUGGGAGCAACCGA
This 776-nucleotide ribosomal RNA is filed under the name Pseudomonas sp. CUL-LABLG13X13. RNAcentral's name for it is "bacterial SSU rRNA". It matches the Rfam family "Bacterial small subunit ribosomal RNA", at positions 1 to 775 of the family's 1533-position model. The record is from RNAcentral. Lineage: Bacteria; Pseudomonadati; Pseudomonadota; Gammaproteobacteria; Pseudomonadales; Pseudomonadaceae.